RNAcentral lists this ribosomal RNA (253 nucleotides) under uncultured bacterium. RNAcentral's name for it is "partial 16S ribosomal RNA". It matches the Rfam family "Bacterial small subunit ribosomal RNA", at positions 524 to 776 of the family's 1533-position model. The record is from RNAcentral.
UACGGGGGGGGCAAGCGUUGUUCGGAAUUACUGGGCGUAAAGGGCUCGUAGGCGGCCAACUAAGUCAGACGUGAAAUCCCCCGGCUUAACCUGGGAACUGCGUCUGAUACUGGAAGGCUUGAGGAUGGGAGAGGGAUGUAGAAUUCCAGGUGUAGCGGUGAAAUGCGUAGAUAUCUGGAGGAAUACCGGUGGCGAAGGCGGCAUCCUGGACCAUUACUGACGCUGAGGCGCGAAAGCUAGGGGAGCAAACGGG